AUGGAAUCCAAACCCAGAGCUGUGACCCAUCCUCUCUCCCAAAGCUACCACACCAUUCACCUCCAAUUAGGGAUUAUGGGGCUUCUUGUCCUAGAGCUUCAAGAGUCCAAUUUAUGAUCCCACCUGCUGUUCAACACCUAGAGCGCCACCUUUUGAAGAAGCACCAAGAGAGUAAGUGCGAUUUACCCCUCAUAGUUAAGAGUCACAGGAAGCAUUUCAUCAACUCAAUUCCAAAAGCUGGGCCUCCCAGGGAAAUGGUUCUGUUGUCCACCUCUCGGGGAAUUUCAUUAACCCCGGGCUCCAGCAGCAGCUGUAAUGACACUUCAAAAAGAGAUUCACACAACUUGAGUGGCCCCACAAGGUCCAUCUAUCUCUGGAUCUGAGAAAGUCUCAGGACAAAGUCCCAGGGAUGGGUCAGGCAGAAGUUGAUCACAGAACCUCAUGUUCCUCAGCACUGGGAGAUGAAAGCAGCCUUCAUGCACAGAGUGUCUCAUCACAGGGUCCAGGGACAUGCCACCUGCGGAAGGACCUGACAAACGGUCUGGGAAGAGCUCUGAAAGGUCUGUACAGGAGCCCAGAAGCUUACCCAGGCAAAGUUCUCGAGGCUGUCUCUGGACAGAGGAGGAAAGUUGCCAAAUGAGACACCCAAGAAGUGACUCGUUUCCCUAGUGGGACCAACAGGGAACUGCUAGAAGGCACCCUGAAAAACCACUCAAACAGCAAGUGGAAGCAUGCUAAGGGCAGUAAAGUUCCGGUGGGCAUUUGUCAUGGAAUACGUAUGAACCAUGUUUUGGUUCCUCCUGAAAAGUUAGACAAAUAUGGAAACUUGUAAAAAAAAAAAUCAACUUUCAAUGGUUGUACCACCCAAGAACACUUCUAAUGGGCCUUCCUUCCCUGAUCCUGUCACUCAGAAGGUGCUGGAAACAUGCCUUACAAGAUGCCUGGUGAGGCACAGAUGGGAGCCUGCCUCUCAGAGGCCUCAAAACUAUACAUGUUUUUAACAUGAAAAAGGCUACCGUUUUCCACAUCCCUCCAAUUCCUCUUUGUCCUUCUGGGACUCUAGAUCCAUCGUUAAAAAGGCCAGUGUCCUGGGAGAACCUUAUCAGAAAGGCCCAGAAGAGAAAGUGAGGAAAACAACUUCCACUGUGGAAUCUCUUUCCACACAGAACCCUCAUUCUGCCUCCCAGUUUGGAUUCCUGAGAGACUCCACCUAGUGACAAUUCUGGGCCCUCUGAGUCCCCUACAACUGUCCAGGGGUGACAUAAUGACUUCUCUGUCCACCUUACAAAGUCUCUUGGGCAGAGAAUAGCACAGUGAUAUGGUUCUUAGAUCUUGGACAGGCAACCCAGAGCCAAAUCCAGGCCUAGUAAAGGGUGCCUAUGAGUCACAAGAGAGUGAGGGUGUGGCUUUAAGAGAUAAUCUACCAAAAGGUGUCAGUUCUGGAGAUCAAUGUGGCAUCCCAGUUACCAAGUAGCAGGGGCACCAGAGAACUAGAAGAGGCAGAGAAAGAGUCCUGUGCCUGGGUUCUGACUAUGGAAGCCAGGGAGGUGACCAGCUCUCAAACCAACAAUCAGCAUCCAAGGGAUUUAGAAACGCUGGAGACCAAUGAAAGUCCAUCUUUUUCUAGUACUAUUUCCCAGGAUGCACAAGACUUGGGCCUGAGCACAUCUCACUGCUUGGCAACUGGUGUUUUCCUGCAGGACUAUGCCACUAGGAUGUUCUUUUAAGACUGCCCUGAGGUUCUGCUUGCUUCAGAUAUCCUGGGCCAGAGCCUCCCAGUCCAGCUUCAAGACUGUGUCUGCUACAAGCAAGUCAACCUCUUAGGACAGGUCGCAGAAGCACAGGAUCUCUUGACCUCUGGUGGAGAGGAGAAAUUGGGGGUUCACCACAGGUAUGCUCAAAGAAAAACUGCAUGAAACCACCUCAAGAUCCAGGGAGUAGGUACGCAUGUUACCAUAGGAUUACUACUACAGUAAUAAUAUAGCACAAGGAAACACUAGCUGUGUUCACCAAGCCAAUACCAAGGUACACAGCCAGCCUUCCACUGACAGAAGGAUGCCCUAUGGUAACAACCAGGCUCAGGUGACCAGAAUCUGUGUCCCAAGCCAGCCCCUAUCAGCACAGGGCACAAGCACUAUGUGUCCCACAGACCGCUGUCCACUGUCCUAGGCACUGCCUCUGCAGAAGUGGACUAUAAAAGAAAUUAAAAACUUUUGCCCAAAAGAA
Peromyscus eremicus (cactus mouse) is the source of this 2226-nucleotide long non-coding RNA. RefSeq lists it as uncharacterized. The transcript has 2 exons. The record is from RefSeq and is a predicted model, not a curated record. Lineage: Eukaryota; Metazoa; Chordata; Mammalia; Rodentia; Cricetidae.